AACGAACGCUGGCGGCAUGCCUAACACAUGCAAGUCGAACGAGACCUUCGGGUCUAUUGGCGCUCGGGUGCUUAACGCGUGGGAACCUGCCCUUAGGUUCCGAAUUCUCCCCGAAAGUGGUGCUAAUACCGGAUAAUGUCUUCGGACCAAAGAUUUAUCGCCUUUGGGUGGGCCCGCGUUGGAUUAGCUUGUUGGUGUGGUAAAAGCCUACCAAGGCGACGAUCCAUAGCUGGUCUGAGAGGAUGAUCAGCCACACUGGGACUGAGACACGGCCCAAACUCCUACGGGAGGGAGAAGUGGGGAAGAAUGGACAAUGGGCGAAAGAGUGAGCCAGCAGGGCCGCGAGAGUGAUGAAGGGGUUAGGAAAGUAAAGCUCUUAUAAGCGGGAUGAUAAUAAGAGAACCGGGAGAAAAAGCACGGGCAAACACGGU
Molecule: ribosomal RNA, 431 nt
Filed under: uncultured bacterium
Lineage: Bacteria
Description: partial 16S ribosomal RNA
Rfam family: Bacterial small subunit ribosomal RNA
Source: RNAcentral